This 302-nucleotide long non-coding RNA is filed under the name Salmo salar (Atlantic salmon). RNAcentral describes it as "lncRNA (ENSSSAG00000116778.1)". The record is from RNAcentral. Lineage: Eukaryota; Metazoa; Chordata; Actinopteri; Salmoniformes; Salmonidae.
GGUUGUUGAGAGGAGAGGAGGAGAAGGUGGUUGUUGAGAGGAGGAGGAGGUGGUUGUUGAGAGGAGGUGGUUGAGAGGAGGAGGAGGAGGAGGUGGUUGUUGAGAGGAGGAGGAGGUGGUGGUUGUUGAGAGGAGGAGGAGGAGGUGGUUGUUGUUGAGAGGAGGAGGAGGAGGAGAAGGUGGUUGUUGAGAGGAGAGGAGGAGAAGGUGGUUGUUGAGAGGAGGAGGAAGUGGUUGUUGAAAGGAGGAGGAGGAAGUGGUUGUUGAGAGGAGGAGGAGGAGGAGGUGGUUGUUGAGAGGAG